This 13959-nucleotide long non-coding RNA is filed under the name Triticum aestivum (bread wheat). RNAcentral describes it as "long non-coding RNA (TAES_LNC001175)". The stretch from base 1479 to 1602 matches the Rfam family "MIR1120/MIR1122 microRNA precursor family". Lineage: Eukaryota; Viridiplantae; Streptophyta; Magnoliopsida; Poales; Poaceae. The record is from RNAcentral.
ACUUCACUAUAACAUAUUCAUGAUUAUCUGGCGCUGAUUACUUCAAUAAUUUUGAAACAUGCUUGUUGAAAUGAGAGAAAGAAAGAGAAACAAAUGCUAACACCGGCAGCUUGACAAAACAAAGAAGAUCGGCAAUGGUUGCGCCCUAUGGAGAUGUCCCACCGCGCUCCAAGCACACCGAAGCAUCGCAUACCAAGAAACACCUUCAAGAAGGAAGGUGACAGCGACGCUGCUGCCUAGACGAGUCCUAGGGUUUCCCCUAGUACAUGGAGGGUAGUGGGGAGGGGGUAUACCGGAAGCCCUUCAAGAAGGAACGACGGCGCUCACAGGCGACACCACCUUGGUGCCGCACGAGCCUAUAUGGAUUUCUCCCUACCCAAAAAUCCUCACCACCUCGAACGAUCCGAGUGCUCCACUACUCUUGCCGUCCACCAACAUGCUCCACCACGGCCUUGAAUCAAUCUCAUCGCCAAACUGAGGCCAUUGAUAUGGGGCCUAGAGGAAGGAAGAGGGAACAACAGACCCGAGGCCGCAGCAACGCAGCCAAGCGGGAUGGGACUACCUCCACCGUCGAUGCGAAAGCCGACCGGACGCCGCAACUCGGACAAACCGAGCCCCUACUGGCCGCCCGGGCCUAGAUGGGCUCGUGAAGUCCCCUCGCCCAUGCCGCAGCACGUCGGCUACCAACGUCGCCACCGCCCAGAGACCACCGCCGCCCACUUCCACCUCCAAGGAGCCUUGCCACCGUGUAGAGAUUCGGUGGCCCGCCUGAACCCAGAUGGGGCCCAAAUGGCCCGGAUCUGGGCCUAGCAGGCGCCAUUGGCCGAGCUACACCACCACGACGCCACCCCGCAACCAACGGCCGCGCCGCCAUGCCUAAGGCACCCGAGGACCGAGGAACCGCCUCCCCGAGCCAGACCGCCACCGACCAAGCCACACUGCCACCAAAAGGAUCCCCUGGGCCCAUGCCGUGUGCUCGGGGAAAGAGCUGCCCGCCGCCUCCAGCAUCGCGUGGGCAAGGCCCCGAUGGCGGCAGGAGGGGAGGAUGUGGAAGGGGGCUGGAGGAGAAGGGGCUAGGAUUUGCGCGUCACCUGCAAUGGGGCAAGCGACCAAAUAGGGGCGGCUUCGAAAUUUCAAAAUUAAGAUCCCUACUCUCAACGUCUCCUUCUCACGCAAGCCCGAUGUUUGCUUCGUGUAAACAUGACUAUAUGAACAGAUUCAAGAAAUACCUUUGACUUUAGUAGUCGUCUUCCUUAGAACUUCAGUAGCUGAAAAAGUACACAAAUCUGUUUUGUUCCUAAUGAGGUAUCAAACUCAUUCAGCAAAGUAGCUAUGACUAUCAGAAUUUAAAGCCAUGAGGAGCAUGCAAAAUUUAUGCCACAACCUAUGAUUAAUGCAAGCAAUAAAUUGUAUCCAAAUAUAAGGCUAAGAUAACAUGGAUUUUGAAUUUUGUGGUAUGGCCAAUAAUUAGGCCAUAAUAAAUACUCUCUCCUCCCAGAAAUACUUGUCGGAGAAGUAGAUGUACCUAGAUGUAUUUUAGUUCUAGAUACAUCCAUUUUUAUCCACUUAUGCGACAAUAAUUCUGGACAGAGGGAGUAGUCAUUAAGCAUAUUUGUGGAGUGAAUGUUGGCAUAUUGAUAAUAAUAUAUUGUAUUAUUAAAAUGGUAGAAAAAUUGGGUAGUUUAGAUUAUCAAUAAAAAAGAACUACUAACAUCCAUAAUUUGUUGUAGAUCUAAACAAAUACAUGGACAUAGAUUGCUUUUCAGCCAAUACUACAUACAUAGUAGAAAAAAUCAGGAAAACCCUACAAUCUAUCCAUCAAGUGCCAAGGAAGCACAAUAGGAAAGAACACCAGCCAUAACUUGUAUCCAAAUAUAAGGCUCACAUGCAUGCCAUGGAUUUUGACUGUUUUGCAUGGACUAUAUAUAGGACAUAAUUAAUACUCACUAAAAAUAUUUUGGAGUGAAUAUUGGCAUAUUUAUAACAAUAUAUUAUAUCAUUAUAUCAAUAGGAAACCGGUGGUUCAAAUUAUCAAUAUAAAAGAAUAGUUGAGAUCAAUAAUACAUUGUAGAUUGAAAUGAUAUACGCGAGCAGAAAGCGUUCUUCGGGUAAUGCUGCAUACAGAGUAUGUUUUCUUUGUGGGAAAAACUUUUGAUAUAUUCAUCAACAGUCAAGGUAGCACAAAGAACACCAAGAGUCAUAGAAAUUACAUCCAUUCCGGUAGAAUGCUUGGCAAUGAUAUUAAGCACUGCAGUGAGCCAAAGGCGCGCCAUUAUCAUCAACCCUCAGACAGUUGUGAAAAUUGUCAAGUUUGCAAUUUAAUCAUAGCUGCGAGAGCUGAAAUUGCAUUAACAAAUCAAUUUUUCACAAAUUCAUACAAAAACUAUCAAUAAUUACAAAUUUUAUUCAAAUAUGCCCCCAAUUACAAUAUACAACAAAUUGACAGCACCUACAAAAUGUGACGGUUAUGCAUGUCGGCAUGAGCAUGUGGACCCGCAUGUAAGAAGCCACAUUACGCACGUCCGGACCCAAUUGGCAGCAGGCAUGCUAUCAUAUCAUUAGGUCCAUAUGUCAAAAUUGUUGACUGCUCAAACACUAUUGUGGUAACUGUUAGUGACGGUCACCGUCAUGGAAAAAAUUAUGUUUGGUUCCACAUGGAAGGAGCCACGCCAACAUCUACUAGGCCCAUUUGUAGGAAUCUUUGAUCGGUCAAACUGAAAAACUGAUUACUAGUGAGGGAUUAUUGAUGACCCACAAGUAUAGGGGAUCAACCAUAGUCCUUUAGAUAAGUAAGAGUGUCGAACCCAAUGAGGAGCAGGAGGAAAUGACAAGCAGUUUUCAGCAAGGUAUUUUUUGCAGGCACUCACUACAAAAAAAUACACUUCCAUGAUGAUACGUGUUUGUCACAGUAGGUCACAUUUUUUGCCAUACAUGUACAUCCAUGACGAUUUUAUGAUAGAAUCAAGAUAGUCAUACUUGUACUGUCGUAGAAGUGUUCCAUGACAUCACCAAAAUUAUCAUCGAAGAAGUGUCCACUUCCAUGACGAUAAAUCGCGCGUCAUAGAAGUGCUUUUGUCAAGUGUGACCGACACGUGGCAUCCACCGUAACGAGUUGCCGUUAAGCUAUCGGGUUCCGGUUUGGAUCCGAUAACGCGUUAACAGCCCGGACCAAUGGGAAUUUUCCACGUGUAAAAUCAUCAUUGGCUGGAGGAAACACGUGUUUGCUCCUCGGUGGGAUGUCGUCCGUCCAUUGGAGGAGACAUGCCUAUGAUACGUUAACACAUGGCAGGGCCCAACAGAAGCCCAUAUAGGUUAAAAAGGCCAGCCCAGUCGAAGGCCCGUAGUACUUACUCUGGUACUAGUGGGCCAGCCCAAUAACGGCCUAUUUAAACAUGACCCAUUUACGGCCCGAAGCCAGAUCUGGCCCGUUAAUUGUUCGCCAAAUAUUUGGGCCCAAUUACGGCCGAAUGACCGACCUAUUAGAGGUACAAUGUAGACAUGGGCCCAUUUCAGCCCGGUGUGUCUUUCAGCCUGGGAAUGGCAAGGCUGCCCAUGGGCCAUAUAUUGUCCGACACGACAUCUGGCCCACUAACGGCCUGUGAUAAAAGUGGCAACAGUUCAUCCCAACGUGACUUUGGGACUAUUAAAGGCAUGUCGUAUAAUUCGGCCCAUUGAUGCCUGUACAAAUCUUUCAGUUUCUUAAAGGCCCAUGAUAUCAGUGGGCCAACUAAGGCCCGAGAUAUGUUUCGGCCUGGUAACGACCCGUCAUAUAACUGGGCCAAAAAAGGCCCGGUCUACAUUUCAGCCUACUGAAGACCCGUCGACGACUAGUGAAAAUUGAGGCCCAACAUGCAUUUUUGCUUGCUUAAGGCCCAUGGUUUCUUCUGGGUCGUAGCAGGCCAGCAGAAUAUUCAGCCUGUUAAUGACCCAAAGCUACAUGGGCUAAACUAAGCGCUGGGUCCACAAAAGGCCCAACUAAAAUUUGCGCCGAAUAUAGGCCGGAGUAAGUUGUGGGCCUGGCGCAAAGUGUGAAGGCCCCAAUGGCCAUUCGGACCCAAGAAAGUUGCAGGCCGGCCCAAUUGUGGGCCGCUAAAAACCAGGCCCGUUAGAGGCGAAUGUUUUGGCCUGGUCGACUACAUCAGAUUUUUUUUCCAGAUAGCGAAUGAUGGCAGUAACUAGUAGGAAGUAAGAACAAACCUACUCUAUACAAUAAAGAAAUUACGAUAUAGUAACUUUGAAAAAACCUACACUAUACAAUAAAGAAUUUAUGGUAUAUUACAUCCACUGGGCAUCGAAGUUCGCCACCAGUGAUCAUAAAGCGCAACGAAGAAGCAGAUUACAAAAACUGGGCACCAUUGCAGCGUAACAAAAUAUACUGAACCAAGACCACUUCCAAGACAGCUCGAGAAAGGUUAACCUUGCGCGGGAACUGCUGGACAAGCUGCUGAGCAAGGCUGUGAGACCGACCUAGCAUGUCAGUCAUAGCUUCCAAGUGUAGCUGUUUAGCAAUGAGGUUCUCAUUGGUGUUCUCUGCAACCUUUCUUAGAGAUAGGACUUCAAUUCAAAGUUGAGUUGCAGAAUGCCUUUCUGCUAGAACUUUGGACUCAAGAAGUCGAACUGAUUCAGACAGUGAAUUCUGUGCGCUUGUCUGACUACUAGUCUCAAGUAACUUAAACACUGCAUCAAGACAAGACUUUGGGGUUGUCUCGCUAUGUUCAAGAUGUUUUGCCUUCUUUGCUGCAAUAUAUGUUGGGUUUGUCUCAUAGCCUUCAGCAGACUUGUGCAUGCCAUCAGGCAUAUCACCCUGAAACAAGCAGAGAGAUCACAAGUUUUGCACGUGUAUAAACAAAGAUCAUAACUAUGCUGUCAAUUCCAUCAAAUUUCAAAUUACAAAAUAAAGAGUAAGUUCAAAAUAUCAGUAGCAUACUUUGGCAUUGUUCAUAAUGUGGGGAGCUUCACCACACUACUGGAUUACCAUGUCAACAUAACAAGCAUAGAUGAAGGGAAAAUACAAUCCUUGUACCUAUUUUGGUUAAUGUGCAUGGCAUGUUGUUCAUAUCAUCAGCCACAUUAGUAAGAUAAAAUAGGAUAUGACAAGGUGCAAACGUGGGCUGCUUCACCACACACUGGAUUAUAGAUCCACAAAAAAUAAGCAUACAUAUAGGGAGUAUUGAGUAAUGUGCAUGGUAUGAAUAAGGAAUUUGGUUUUACAAGUAAAACUUGCAACUUACGGUUGUUACGAACAUGCAUUUUGAUAGAAACAACAAACUAAACAGUAGUUAACGAUAGGGAGUAUGAGCAAAUUAAACAGCAGUUGAGGAUAAAGGCUUUAGAAGGACUGACUUACAUUAACAGUUAACACUGGCUUUAUAAUUCCGUUCUCCAUGUCAAGGGAAGGAUAACUCAAGAAUUUCAACACAGAAUCUUCUUCAUAAGCAUUGCCUGUACUCUACAUUUUGUAGAGAGUAAUUAUAUAUAUGAUAAUACUGGAAGGGAUAGAGGAUAAUGAAGAUAAGAUGCAGACUGAUGCUACAUAAUCAACUACCAAUCCCUGGAAGUACAAGCGUUACAGGACAAAAUGUACUGGCAAGAGCAAUGGGCUAGACUUCUGCACUGGCAUUGUCUGUGUAUUCAACUUUUUGGUAAGAUUAAAUAUAGAUAUGAUAUUUUUUAGUAAAUGGUGGGUAAGGGAGAUAAGAUGCGGAAUGCUACACAAUGAACCAAUCACUCUUCGCAUAAUACAAGAGUGUUUUGAACACUGGUGUACUAUACAAAAUGUUCUUAUAUUAUGGGACGGAGGAAGUAGCUGUUAAUGUAAGUACAUUGAUAGACGAUGUUUAGUCCUUACAAGAGGAAUGCAGAGCUAAACCUCUUCAAAAGCAUUGGGUUGAUUCUAAAUUUAUGUAAGAGUCCAUAUGGAUCUUAUAAUGUCCACCAAAUGGACGAUAACGAGGCUAACAUGUGCAGUGAUGCUACAUAAUCAAACAACUAUUGAAGUAUGUAUGGUCAUACAGGGCAAGAGGUACUCACAAGAGCAAUGCAGUGUGUAGUAUAGUUGCGAUAUUCUGUGGUCCCUUGAGAAUGAAUGUUCUUCUGCUAACAGUUUUUGUAGAAGUGAGAUGUCCAGGCAAAUGCAGAAAUGUAGUUCAAAUUGUGAUGUGAUAUCAUAGAUAGUACCUUACGUUGCGGACGAGGCCAAUUUGUAACAAGAUUAUUCCAGUCACUGUCAGAUAAAUGUAGCACCGGAGACUUUACAAAUUUUUUGUUUCAAGGCUUGCCAUCGAAGUGCGCUUGCCUCAGGUAGGAACGAUACUUCAUCAACGAGUGCUUGAAAAGCGCAACCAACCCCUGCUCAUCUUGACAAUCCAGUUUGGUCCUCGCCUAUUUAAAAGAAUGAAAUCUUGUGUCUUCUAUCAGCAGAAACAUAUGCAGUAAUUACCAUGAAUAACAUUACUACAUUACUUACGCGUAAGUUGUGGAGGAAGACUAGAAAUUGUUCUAUGUCUGUGGUAUAAUCUUUCCAUGAAGGAAAGAUGCGCACAAAGUUCCUGACAACAAUACAAGCUUCGUCUUCUAUACUGGGAAGAAAUGGAACAGGGGUCCUAUUUGCUGCAAUUGGGGCUCUCUCUGGUUCGAAAAGGGAUUUGGCAACUGGAUUUGGUGUACUCUUUGCUGGAAUGGGGGUUUUGCGUCGUAGAGCUAGUGCUAUGUCAACUGGCAUCAUCAUACUGUUUGCUGCAGUUGGGGUGUGCUGAGUUGGGCAUCAAAAAUGACCAGUGUAGUAGGGCUAGAGUCUGCUAGAGUUGGGGCCGUGUUUUGUGGGUCAGGUGAUAUUGCAACUACACCUAAUGGGCUAUUUUAUUUAUCAGGUGUCACUACCUUUUCAAAUACUUUGCUCGUGCUCCCCCGCGAUCAGCAAUCGCCCUCUUCCUUUCGAACAUCUGAUACACAAGAACAACAUUUGAAUGGGUAAAUAUGGUAUGAUGACUGAUGGAAUAUGUACUAAAAAUGGAUAGGCAGGGCGUAUUCACAUACACGAUGUGUAAACGAAGCUAAUGGCAGUGCAACAAAGUAGAAGCAAUGCAAAGCAUCAGUUCCAAGAUAUGUGUGACCAAUAUAACCUUGGAAAGUUAGAGCAAGCACCUUGAUGGGUGAAUAAGAUAGGGCAUUUGCCUCUGACUCCUCCACUAGGGAGCUACAUUGACUUAGGUCUCCCUCUAGCAUAGAAUCACUGUUAGGAUCAUAUUCCGAGCAUGAAUCUGUAGGUGGAGAGCGUUUGCAUUGCAUUGCAUUGCAUCCAAACUUGAUUUCAGCCCCUUAAUGCCAAAUUUGACACCCAUGGCAUUGUUCUGCUUUAUUCUUUUCAUGGGCGCAAGCUCAUAAUCAUUAUGAUGUUGUUCAGAAUAUGAGAUUCAUGAAAACAUAAAAAGUAGUCAGAUUAUCUAUGGAAUGCAUUGCGGAUUCAACUCGAAGAGUGUCUCCCUAUAAACCCCUACAUAUGCAAAGUUCACCCCCAACCAUGCUGACCAGACCACACACAGAAAUACAAACCUCUUAUGUAUCUAUAAUAGACAGACACACAUUUCAAAACUGAAGUAGGAACAUUAGAAUCAUAUCAAAAUCGUAUUUGAACAAAUAAACUAAGGAAUUAUGAGUGGCAUAAUGUUUAGCUUCAAGGGUGGAGUGUUGGUAGUGCGACACAAAGUAAGUAGGCAAAUUGUAUUCCAUGUAAACGAUCGUAGCCUAUGUAAAAGCUACAAAUGACACCUUAUUUCUAUACAAUGCAGUGUUCGUUGCCCACACAUGAUGGAAGAGAUCACACAGCGAAAUACUAUUCACUCAUGUCUGCGGUUCCAGUAUUUUGAAACAGGGUGGUCCACCCUAAAAGAAUUUUGACAACAAAUAUGACAAGGCAAGCAUAGAUGUAGUGAAUCAAUCAUUUACUUGUGAGCUUACUAGGACAAGUAUGCAUAAUUGUAACUACAGUAAGAGACCGUCCAAAAUUUGAAUCAAGAAGUUUGUCUAGCACUUAUUGUUUGUAACUAAUCGACGUGCAUAAUUUGAUAUCAUAUCGAAUGAGUAAGAAAGACAAGUAAAAUUGUCAACAAACCUGGCCUGCAGUGGUAAUCUGGGUCAAUGUCACUACGGCUAACAAUCCAAAAUGACUAGUGUCUGUUCCUAGGGCCGGAAUUUUGAAACCCUGUGAACUUUACAGGUACUAAAGAUUAUUGAAAUACAUCUGAACCAUUAAGUGUAGGUGAGGGAGUCCUGGACUAAGGGGUCCUCGGGCGUCCGACCUGUUAUCCAUGGGCCAGACUGAUGGGCUAUGAAGACAUGAAGACCGAAGACUGUACCUCUGUCCGGAUUGGACUCUCCUUGGCGUGGAAGGCAAGCUUGGCGAUCGACUAUGAAGAUUCCUUCUUAUGUAACUGACUCUAUGUAAACCUAGACCCCCUGCUGUCUAUAUAAACCGGAGGGGUUAGUCUGGAAAGGAUAUACUCAUUACCAUAGUCAUACAGACUAGGCUUCUAGGGUUUAGCCAUUACGAUCUCAUGGUAGAUCAACUCUUGUAACACUCAUAUUCAUCAAGAUCAAUCAAGUAGGACGUAGGGUAUUACCUCCAUUGAGAGGGCCCGAACCUGGGUAAACAUCGUGUCGCCCGUCUCGUGUUACCAUCGAUCCUAGACGCAGUUCGGGACCCCCUACCCGAGAUCCGCCGAUUUUGACACCGACAUUGGUGCUUUCAUUGAGAGUUCCACUGUGCCAUUGACGAAAGGCUUGAUGGCUCGCCUUGUCCUUAAAUACAACAUCACCUCCGGGGGAGCUCUGGCCCCAGGCCAAACCCUCCAGUUGGGCGGCUUUACUAUGAUCGCCCAUUCGGCUAUUGAGACGACGAUGACCUCUCGGGCCAUCGAAAACCCUCUUCGCAUCAACUCCAAGCACUCCAAGCAGAUGAAUCUGACAGAGUUGUCGUCUUUGAACGAGCUCCUAGAUCGCAUCGCCGCUUUGGGAAUAGCCACAGACUACAAUCGGAUCGGGCCUAAAACCGAUCAAGAAGAAAUCGAGACCCUACCGGUCAUCCACCAGAUUGCGGUAGUCAUGGAGGAGGACGGUGAGUCUUCUUCUAUACUGAAGACGUACUAUGUUCGGAUCGCCGAUCAGGAACAGCCAGAUACCCACCCGCGAAAGGAUGCGACCAGCCCUCCGAACAUUGCACCGGACGGCGGUCCUAAACAAUCAGAAGAUAUUCCAGAACCCGGACUGUUAAGCCCGAAAGGUCGUCAGACUCCGGAUAAUCGGUCAGGUCGGGGUUUGGAUUUAAUUCCACCCACCCACCCGGAUAUAGACUCUCUCAUGAGCAUAAAACAAAAGUCUCAAGAAACGGUCCACCACUUCUGGGCCAGAUUCCUCCUUGUCAAGGACAAGGUAAAAGAUUGCCGUGACGAGGACGCAAUAUCAACGUUCUACAACAAUUGCGCAGAAGAAGGAAUCCUCAAUGCCAUCAAUCACCGCCGCAUACUGAAAUUCGCUAACUUAGCAACCAUCGUACAAAAUUACAGCGCGAUGGAGAGCACCUGGAAAACUCAGGCAGCCUGCUGGGAACCGUCAGUCCCAACUCAACUCCCCCUACAGGCGAAAAGGGCGCACCCUCGCGGCACGCCUAGUCCAACUGUCAAGAAACAUAAAACCGCUAUGUGGCACGACACCGUUCUGGAGGAGAAAGCAUUGCUCGAGCUUUGGAGAGGCUUAAGUACAUGAUGUACACAUGCCCCAAUCAUGAACUCUCAAGGAAAAUUAUCUUACAUAAUAUUUAUGCUCGGAUUUCUCAUAAUGAUCAAACCAUGAUCGAUUCUUAUUCUAUUGGUUACUUUAUGAAGAAAACUAUUGAAUUCAGAUGGGGUCUUCUGGAAAUAAUUAAAGGCAACUCUGAAGAUUGGGAACACGACAAAGGCAAAGAGUCAGGCAUUAUACUUGAGUUUGAUUGUGUUAAAAUUUUCAUGGAUACCGAUGCUUUUCAUAAGUUUAGAACUAAAUAUGGACUAGACUUUGAGAUAAUAGCCUAAUUUUGUGAAUCAUUUUCUAUUUAUGCUGAUCUCCCUAAGGAGAAGUGGUUUAAAUAUCACCCCCUAUUAAAGAAAAGAUUGAGGAACCCAUUAUAGUUAAAAAUGAAACUAUCAUUUACAAUGUUGAUCCAGUUGUGCCUACCACUUAUAUGGAGAAACCACCUUUUCCUGUUAGGAUAAAGGAACAUGCUAAAAUAUCAACUGUGGUUAACAAAAAGUAACAUCAAAGCACCUAGACCCUCUGGAAAAAAUAAGUUGAACCUAAUGUUGCUAUGGUUAAAGAUCUCUUGGUCGAUAAUAUUGAUGGGCAUGUUAUUUACUUUUGUGAUGAAGCAAGGCCGCUAUGCACAUCAUCUGUAGUGUCACACGCCAAAGGUUCACCACCAGUGCGCUCCUGUCUUUGCACUCACUGAUUGGGUUGUGCUCCAUGGACUUGCAGAAGCCCUACACUUGCUUAUUCACAUGUGACAAAAAUUCUCAUUUUGCAUAAUUCAUGCGGGAGACCAUCGGGCACAAGAGGGGCCCAAGGAAUCCUUCACCAAGUAUUGCACUUCUUAUAGCUUAAAAGAAAAGGACUUUUGGAAGUUUGAGUGAGGAUAAUUUUCUUAAAUAUUGGAGAAUCGGCUAAAAAACAUGGAAUUGUCUUCGCCUUUGUAAGCGAAAAUGUCCAGUAAAGCCUAUUCGCUUUUAGCCUUCAUGGUGAAUGGCCCACCCUUUCUUUGAACCUUGUCAAUGAUCGAACGAACUUAUAGAUAUGAACUGAGUGCCAUUUGAUGAGUAAGAUCGAACAAGGGAGAGGGAUAUGGAAAGGAUGAAGUAAUGAAAGAGGAAGUCAUUGCUAGUAGUAACGACUUGUCACGAUCCAUUGAUCCUCCUCAUCAUGCUCCGUGCAUGACUCUACAGGUGCAUGCACAUGGGAGUGCGUGAGGUGGGUGGCGGUUGUGGUUCACUUCCAGCCUUGGCUCCAGAAGAUGAUGAAUGCUCUCAUACUACUUUAUGUUGCUGAAAAACAUUGAUGGUAGAGGUAUCUCAUGAAUGGCAUACUCAUACCAUUAAGUGUUAGAACACACACACACACAAUGUUAUUGUGCGGCAUUCACCUUGCAACUUUUAUGUUUGUUUUUCUCUAUUUAUUGGCAUCUACUUGAUAUGUUCUGUUACAAACUCAAAGAGACAAAGACGGGCGUUGGACUGAGCUUCACAGCAAUGCCAUCCCAAAGCCGCUCAUCCUACUACCCCUACAUUGAUGUCAUGAUUGCCCUAUCUCGUGCCAUCCCACGUAGCAACCAUGAGAGCCUAUGGAAAUAAAUAAACAAGCGACCAAGUCAUGUACAUACACACGCACCAUGGCGCAUUAUUUGCUAGCUGAGGAACCAAGUAAAACUAUAGUUCAUGCGGCGGAAUGAAUGUUGGCUCAGACCGAAGACGGUAUGGUCAGUCGUGGGCCGAUGGGAGCCACAUGCCAUUUCGGCGAAGACCCUCUUUAAGAUAGGCAGCGGCGUGUAGGAGUUCUUCCUUGAGCCUCAUAUUCUCGGUGUAUAGGCGUUGGAACUCUGAAGUAUGCUGUGUUUGUACCAUCACCCCUCUGCAUUUGAGGCAAGUCUUGUUUUGCAUAGCCAACAUGAUGGCUUGACGUUCAGUUUUCAGCUUUUCGUUUUCUACCCAACAAUUUUGAGUCUCCCACCGCUGCAUCUUGCCCUGCAUUUAUUAGUUUCAGGUAUGCAUCAUUUUAAUUAGUGGUUAGCAAAGUAUGAUACCAUGUUCAUGAGGGGAAUACAAUAGUAGAUUGUAAGAUCAAAUGACAAACGAUGCUACAAUGUUCAGUGCAGUUCGUACUAUUUAAGAACAAAGUGUGCAUAUAACUGCAUAUCAUAGCUGACCCAUAUGUAAUUAACUAUGGAAAAGAAUGGUAUAUACAUUGUUGAUGGUUCGUUUAUUUUGGAACCAAAACUUGACCUGCUGGGCACUCGUGCCAAGCCUCUCGCUAAGGUCCUUCCGGAGUUUCUCAUUUGGAUAAGGGCAAUCCCGUAACACACUACAUAUCACGUUAAUGAAAAUGGAUUAGCACACAUCUUUGCUAGGUAAGAAUCAUUGAUUGAGUAUGUAUUGUACGCUUCAAGUUGUUGGAUUUGUUCACUGCGCAGACGAUGAUACUUUGCACGCCUUGCGGCCAUUGUCUUCUCACUAUGGGUCUCUCCAUCGUUGUUGUCGUGGUCUGCAACAACAACGUUGGCAUCAUCAGUGUUGCCCACGAUAGUAGAGGCUCCAAGCAGGUCAUCCAUCUCAUCACUAUAGUUGUGCUGGAAUAGGUGGUUGUGUGUGCUUGUCAUGAAGAGGUUAAAUUCAUUGUUCACACCACUGUUCUCUCCGUCCAUGAUAAUCUGCUAUCAUAAAAAAAGAAUGGUAUUCCCCUAUGUAGAACUGAAGGUUAACUGAAAGUAGCAGUUAAAACCAUACAUAAAAGGAACCGUCAUGUAGAACUCUACAAGUCAAAGUACAUUUAGUUUUUUAUGCCCACAUUAGUCAGACGUAACUUCACUUUAAGAAUACUUGAAUUCAUCCAUAUGAGUUUCCUAGACCGAGAUGUAAUUAAGUAGACUUUAAUUACUAUCUAAAAUAUACAUUAACAUACUUUCCUGACUUCACUAUAACAUAUUCAUGAUUAUCUUGCGCUGAUUACUUCAAUAAUUUCGAAACAUGCUUGUUGAAAUGAGAGAAAGAAAGAGAAACAAAUGCCAACACCGGCAGCUUGACGAAACAAAGAAGACUGACAACUGUUGCACCCUAUGGAGAUGUCCCACCACGCUCCAAGCACACUAAAGCAUCGCAUACCAAGCAACACCUUCAAGAAGGAAGGUGACAGCGAUGCUGCUGCCUAGACGAGUCCUAGGGUUUCCCCUGGUACAUGGAGGGUAGUGGGGAGGGGUAUACCUGAAACCCUUCAAGAAGGAACGACGGUGCUCACAGGCGACACCAUCUCGGUGCUGCACGAGCCUACAUGGAUUUCUCCUGUCCCAAAAAUCCUCACCACCUCAAACGAUCCGAGUGCUCCACUAAUCUUGCCGUCCACCAACAUGCGCCACCACGGACUUGAAUCAACCUCAUCGCCAAACUAAGGCCAUUGAUACGGGGCCUAGAGGAAGGAAGAGGGAGCAACGGACCCGAGGCCGCAGCAACGCAACCAAGCGGGAUGGGACUACCUCCACCGUCGAUGCGAAAGCUGACCGGACGCCGCAACUAGGACAAGCCAAGCCCCUACUGGCCGCUCGGGCCUAGAUGGGCUCGUGAAGUCCCCUCCCCCAUGCCGCAACACGUCGGCUACUAACGUCGCCACAGCCUAGAGACCACAACCGCCCCACUUCGACCUCCAAGGAGCCUUGCCACCAUGCAGAGAUUUGGUGGCCCGCCUGAACCCAGAUGGGGCCCAAAGGGCCCGGAUCUGGGCCUAGCAGGAGCCAUCGGCUGAGCUACAACACCACCAUGCCACCCCGCAACCAACGGCCACGCCGCCAUGCCUAAGGCACCCGAGGACCGGGAACCACCUCCCCGAGCCAGAGCGCCACCGACCGCGCCACACUGCCACCAGAAGGAUCCCCUGGGCCCAUGCCAUGUGCUCGGGGAAAGAGUUGCCCGCCGCCGCCAGCACCACGUGGGCAAGGCCCCGAUGGCGGCAGGAGGGGAGGAUGUGGAAGGGGGCUAUAGGAGAAGGGGCUAGGAUUCGCCCGUCACCUGCAAUGGGGCGAGCGACCGAACAGGGGCGACUUUGAAAUUUCAAAAUUAAGAUCCCUACUCUCAAGGUCUCCUUCUCACGCAAGCCCGACGUUUGCUUCGUAUAAACAUUACUAUAUGAACAGAUUCAAGAAAUACCUUUGACUUCAGUAGUCGUCUUCCUUAG